GAUGAACGCUGGCGGCGUGCUUAACACAUGCAAGUCGAACGGAAAGGCCCAAGCUUGCUUGGGUACUCGAGUGGCGAACGGGUGAGUAACACGUGGGUGAUCUGCCCUGCACUUCGGGAUAAGCCUGGGAAACUGGGUCUAAUACCGGAUAGGACCACUUCGUAGUUGUUGUGGUGGAAAGGUUUUUCGGUGUGGGAUGAGCUCGCGGCCUAUCAGCUUGUUGGUGGGGUAAUGGCCUACCAAGGCGUCGACGGGUAGCCGGCCUGAGAGGGUGUACGGCCACAGUGGGACAGAGAUACGGCGCAGACUCCUACGGGAGGCAGCAGUGGGGAAUAUAGCACAAUGGGCGGAAGCCUGAUGCAGCGACGCGGCGUGGGGGAUGACGGCCUUCGGGUUGUAAACUCCUUUCGCCAAAGACGAAUUUAUGACGGUAUUUGGAGAAGAAGCACCGGCUAACUACGUG
This 463-nucleotide ribosomal RNA is filed under the name uncultured bacterium. RNAcentral's name for it is "partial 16S ribosomal RNA". It matches the Rfam family "Bacterial small subunit ribosomal RNA", at positions 28 to 507 of the family's 1533-position model. The record is from RNAcentral.